CAAGUAAUUAAGUGCAUGUGGUGGAUGCCUUGGCAGUCAGAGGCGAUGAAAGACGUGAUAGCCUGCGAAAAGCUCCGGGGAGGCGGCAAAUAUCCUUUGAUCCGGAGAUGUCUGAAUGGGGGAACCCACCUACUUUAAGGUAGGUAUUGCAACAUGAAUACAUAGUGUUGCAAGGCGAACGAGGGGAAGUGAAACAUCUCAGUACCCUUAGGAAAAGAAAUCAAUUGAGAUUCCCUCAGUAGCGGCGAGCGAACGGGGAUCAGCCCAUUAAGUUAUGUGUGUUUUAGUGGAACGCUCUGGGAAGUGCGAACGUAGAGGGUGAUAUUCCCGUACACGAAAGGGCACACAUAAUGAUGACGAGUAGGGCGAGGCACGUGAAACCUUGUCUGAAUAUGGGGGGACCAUCCUCCAAGGCUAAAUACUCCUGACUGACCGAUAGUGAACCAGUACCGUGAGGGAAAGGCGAAAAGAACCCCUGUGAGGGGAGUGAAAUAGAUCCUGAAACCGCAUGCAUACAAGCAGUGGGAGCACCUUCGUGGUGUGACUGCGUACCUUUUGUAUAAUGGGUCAGCGACUUAUAUUCAGUAGCGAGGUUAACCGUAUAGGGGAGCCGUAGAGAAAUCGAGUCUUAAUAGGGCGUUUAGUUGCUGGGUAUAGACCCGAAACCAGGCGAUCUAUCCAUGAGCAGGUUGAAGGUUGGGUAACACUAACUGGAGGACCGAACCCACUGUCGUUGAAAAGCCAGGGGAUGACUUGUGGAUAGGGGUGAAAGGCUAAUCAAGCCUGGUGAUAGCUGGUUCUCCCCGAAAGCUAUUUAGGUAGCGCCUCGGACGAAUACCAUAGGGGGUAGAGCACUGUUUCGGCUAGGGGGUCAUCCCGACUUACCAAACCGAUGCAAACUCCGAAUACCUAUGAGUACUAUCCGGGAGACAGACUGCGGGUGCUAACGUCCGUAGUCAAGAGGAAAACAAUCCAGACCGCCAGCUAAGGCCCCAAAAUCAUAGUUAAGUGGGAAACGAUGUGGGAAGGCAUAGACAGCUAGGAGGUUGGCUUAGAAGCAGCCACCCUUUAAAGAAAGCGUAAUAGCUCACUAGUCGAGUCGGCCUGCGCGGAAGAUGUAACGGGGCUAAAACUAUGUGCCGAAGCUGCGGAUGUAUACUUUGUAUACGUGGUAGGGGAGCGUUCUGUAAGCCGAUGAAGGUGUGUUGAGAAGCAUGCUGGAGGUAUCAGAAGUGCGAAUGCUGACGUGAGUAACGACAAAACGGGUGAAAAACCCGUUCGCCGAAAGACCAAGGGUUCCAGUCCAACGUUAAUCGGGGCUGGGUGAGUCGACCCCUAAGGCGAGGCCGAAAGGCGUAGUCGAUGGGAAAAUGGUUAAUAUUCCAUUACUUCUGUGUAAUGCGAUGAGAGGACGGAGAAGGCUAAAUCAGCCUGGCGUUGGUUGUCCAGGUGAAAGGAUGUAGGCAUGUAUCUUAGGCAAAUCCGGGGUACUCUAUGCUGAGAUCUGAUAGCAAGCUGUACUUGUACAGCGAAGUGGUUGAUGCCAUGCUUCCAGGAAAAGUCUCUAAGCUUCAGUUACACAGGAAUCGUACCCGAAACCGACACAGGUGGUCAGGUCGAGUAGACCAAGGCGCUUGAGAGAACUCUGCUGAAGGAACUAGGCAAAAUGGUACCGUAACUUCGGGAGAAGGUACGCUGUUGUUGGUGAUGGAACUCGCUUCCUGAGCUGACGACAGCCGCAGAAACCAGGCCGCUGCAACUGUUUAUUAAAAACAUAGCACUCUGCAAACACGAAAGUGGACGUAUAGGGUGUGAUGCCUGCCCGGUGCUGGAAGGUUAAUUGAUGGGGUUAGCGUAAGCGAAGCUCUUGAUCGAAGCCCCAGUAAACGGCGGCCGUAACUAUAACGGUCCUAAGGUAGCGAAAUUCCUUGUCGGGUAAGUUCCGACCUGCACGAAUGGCAUAAUGAUGGCGGCGCUGUCUCCAGCAGAGGCUCAGUGAAAUCGAAAUCGCUGUGAAGAUGCAGUGUACCCGCGGCUAGACGGAAAGACCCCGUGAACCUUUACUGCAGCUUGACACUGAACUUUGACCUUACUUGUGUAGGAUAGGUGGGAGGCUUUGAAGCUGGAACGCUAGUUCCAGUGGAGCCGUCCUUGAAAUACCACCCUGGUAAUGUUGAGGUUCUAACUCUGUCCCGUGAUCCGGGACGAGGACCGUGUCUGGUGGGUAGUUUGACUGGGGCGGUCUCCUCCUAAAGAGUAACGGAGGAGUACGAAGGUGCGCUCAGCGUGGUCGGAAAUCACGCGUAGAGUAUAAAGGCAAAAGCGCGCUUAACUGCGAGACCCACAAGUCGAGCAGGUACGAAAGUAGGUCUUAGUGAUCCGGUGGUUCUGUAUGGAAGGGCCAUCGCUCAACGGAUAAAAGGAACUCUGGGGAUAACAGGCUGAUACCGCCCAAGAGUUCAUAUCGACGGCGGUGUUUGGCACCUCGAUGUCGGCUCAUCUCAUCCUGGGGCUGAAGCAGGUCCCAAGGGUAUGGCUGUUCGCCAUUUAAAGAGGUACGCGAGCUGGGUUUAGAACGUCGUGAGACAGUUCGGUCCCUAUCUACCGUGGGCGCUGGAAAUUUGAGAGGAUCUGCUCCUAGUACGAGAGGACCAGAGUGGACGAACCUCUGGUGUACCGGUUGUGACGCCAGUCGCAUCGCCGGGUAGCUAUGUUCGGAAGGGAUAACCGCUGAAAGCAUCUAAGCGGGAAGCCUACCUCAAGAUAAGAUUUCCCUAGGACUUUAUGUCCUCUAAAGAGCCGUUCGAGACUAGGACGUUGAUAGGUUGGAUGUGGAAGCAUAGUGAUAUGUGAAGCUGACCAAUACUAAUUGCUCGUGAGGCUUGACUA
Molecule: ribosomal RNA, 2889 nt
Filed under: Acinetobacter baumannii 466760
Lineage: Bacteria; Pseudomonadati; Pseudomonadota; Gammaproteobacteria; Moraxellales; Moraxellaceae
Description: bacterial LSU rRNA
Rfam family: Bacterial large subunit ribosomal RNA
Source: RNAcentral